RNAcentral lists this signal recognition particle RNA (299 nucleotides) under Aotus nancymaae (Ma's night monkey). RNAcentral's name for it is "Metazoan signal recognition particle RNA (ENSANAG00000000645.1)". It matches the Rfam family "Metazoan signal recognition particle RNA". From Rfam's summary of the family: The signal recognition particle (SRP) is a universally conserved ribonucleoprotein. It is involved in the co-translational targeting of proteins to membranes. The eukaryotic SRP consists of a 300-nucleotide 7S RNA and six proteins: SRPs 72, 68, 54, 19, 14, and 9. Lineage: Eukaryota; Metazoa; Chordata; Mammalia; Primates; Aotidae. The record is from RNAcentral.
GCUGGGCACGGUGGUGCUUGCCUGUAGUCCCAGCUACUCGGGAGGCUGAGGUGGGAGGAUCACUUGAGCCCAGGAGUUCUGAGCUGUAGUUCACUAUGCCGAUAGGGUGUCUGCACUAAGUUCGGCAUCAAUAUGGUGAUCUCCUGGGAGCGGGGGACCACCAGGUUGCCUAAGGAGGGGUGAACCGGCCCAGGUUGGAAACGGAGCAGGUCAAAACUCCCGUGCUGAUCAGUAGUGGGAUUGCGCCUGUGAAUAGCCACUGCACUCCAGCCUGGGCAACAUAGCAAGACCCCGUCUCU